UGAGGCCACACAAUAAUGUUCCUUGGAGAAAUAGAACUGCCUGAUGCCUCAGCCCUGGAAUAACUUUCAGUUGCUUCCCACAUUUGGUUUUUGCAAGUUACAUCUAUGCAAAGGAGUCAGUCCACAAGUUUUAAAUCUCCUCACUGUGGAGAGCAGUAUUCAGAGCCUGGGCAGAAAGAUCAUACUUUGUUGUGUAAAAUCUGGAGCAUCAACCUGCUUACAAAGAAAAGCUUUGGCCCUAAUCGUAGUCAGUCCCACAGCCUACCUUUGCACAAAGAUACGAUUUACCCCUCAUCUUGGAAAGUAUAUAUCUGACUCUAAUUUUCAUUGAAAAGACAUUCAGUUACACCUGUUAUGGAUCUGGUGCAUAAAACAUUUGAAUUUUAUUUUGCAAAAUACCAGUAUGGCAGGUUUUUGUCAACAACCUCAAACUCAGAUUGUUUGCCCUCCUGAUGGUGUCAAAAGUUGGACUCAUACGAGCCCUGAUGGCCUAGUGGUUAAUGUUUGGCACUGUCACUGCUUCA
Molecule: long non-coding RNA, 524 nt
Organism: Equus quagga
Lineage: Eukaryota; Metazoa; Chordata; Mammalia; Perissodactyla; Equidae
Exons: 3
Source: RefSeq, a predicted model, not a curated record